This 1628-nucleotide ribosomal RNA is filed under the name Dictyostelium discoideum. RNAcentral's name for it is "LSU rRNA". It matches the Rfam family "Bacterial large subunit ribosomal RNA", at positions 449 to 2112 of the family's 2925-position model. The record is from RNAcentral. Lineage: Eukaryota; Evosea; Eumycetozoa; Dictyosteliales; Dictyosteliaceae.
GGGCCCACCCCCAAACUCAAUAUAUGCUUAUUUGACUGAUAGUGAACAAGUACUGUGAAGGAAAGAUGAAAAGGAAUAUAGAAGUUAUCUAUUCAGUGAAAAGACCGUGAAAUUGUAAACAUGAUAGAGCAGUUGGAGUUAAGUGACAACGUACCUUUUGUAUAAUGGGUCAGCGAGUUAAUAAAUCGUAGCAAGCUUAAGGUAGUAACUAUAGGCGCAGCGAAAGCGUAUCUUAAUAGGGUGUUUCAAGAGUUACAUUUAUUAGACCCGAAACCAAGCGAUCUAAUUAUGAACACGCAUUUUAUUAUUUUUAUUUUAAUUUGGCGGAACCCGUAACUGUUGCAAAAGUUUGGGAUGAUUUGUGAUUAGGGGUGAAAGGCUAAUCAAGCUUGGUGAUAGCUGUUUUUUACGAAAUCUAUCUAGGUAGAACGGUGGUAUAUUGUUUAUUAUUAUUUGAAAAAGUCUUAAUAAACAUUAUUAAAGCAAUUUAAUAAAAGAAAAUUUAUAGAGGUAGAGCACUGAAUGGUUCAACCUAAGGUUAUUAUUUAAACUUCGAAUACUAUAAAUAAAUUGACCACUAGGCAGACUAUGAGCGCUAAGGUCCAUAGGUCUAAAGGGAAACAGCCCAGAUUGUAAGUUAAUGUUCUUAAAUAAUAGUGUAGUGUCAAAGGCAUGGAGAAAGUGAUGUUAAUUGGAAAGUAGGAUUGGAAGCGACCAUCUUUUAAAGAAAGCGUAAAAGCUCACCAAUUUAAGGCGUUCUCUAGCCAACAAUGUACAGGAACUCAACAUUAUACAGAAACUACAAAAUUAUAACAUUGGUAGUAAAAUGUUCCGUAUAAUUGUGAAGUUAACUCAAGAAGAGAUAAUGGAGUUAUCGGAAUUAAGAAUGCUGAUAUGAGUAAUGUUAAUAAGGUUAAGACCUUAUCACUGAAAAUUAGAAGUUUCCUAAUAAAAAGGUAAGCUGAUUAGGGUUACGCGAUCGCUAAGAUUAAUAUGACAAUAAACUAUCGAUGCGCAUAUAGAUUAAUAAUUCUAACGUUUUUAUUGUAGUUUUAAUUGACAUGUGUAUUUUAAAUAAUUAUAUUAUACUUACAUUAUAGAUUAUUUGAAAUAUAAGUUUUAAAAAUAGAUUAAAACAAAAUAUCUGUAAAAAGAUAUUUUAAAUAAAAAAUCGUACUUAAACCGACACUGGUUAAUUGAUAGAAUAUAUUAAAGUGUAGAAUGAAUGAUUCUGAAGGAACUCGGCAAAAUAACUCCGUAACUGCGGGAGAAGGAGAGCCUUUGUUGUAAAAAAUGAAGGUCACAGUAAAGAAGGGGUGGCGACUGUUUAAUAAAAACACAGGAUUCUGCAAAAUGGCAACAUGAUGUAUAGGGUCUGCGACCUGCCCGGUGCUCCAAGAGGAAGAGGAGAACUGCAAGGUUUGAAUUGAAGUCUGAGUAAACGGCGGCUGUAACUAUGACGGUCCUAAGGUAGCGAAAUUCCUUGUCGAGUAAUUUUCGACGCGCAUGAAUGGUGUGAACGACCUCCCCACUGUCUCCAGAAUCACUUCGAUGAAAUUGAACUUUCCGUGAAGAUGCGGAAUAUUAGCAGCUAGACGGAAAGACCCUAUGCACCUUAACUUCACGCA